GGGACUGUAGCUCAGUGGUUAGAGCGUUCCCCUGUCGAGGGAAGGGUCGCCAGUUCAAAUCUGGUCAGUCUCG
Transfer RNA from Microcoleus sp., 73 nucleotides. It matches the Rfam family "tRNA". Rfam says of the family: Transfer RNA (tRNA) molecules are approximately 80 nucleotides in length. Lineage: Bacteria; Bacillati; Cyanobacteriota; Cyanophyceae; Oscillatoriales; Microcoleaceae. The record is from Rfam.